GACUGGUCUGAUGGUAGUGGGUUAAUCGGAAAUUAUUAACAUUAGUAUCACUGAAGUUGGUAUACAGCCACCACUCAUCAAUUUGACUGGCUUAA
This 95-nucleotide Y RNA is filed under the name Saimiri boliviensis boliviensis (Bolivian squirrel monkey). RNAcentral describes it as "Y RNA (ENSSBOG00000005003.1)". It matches the Rfam family "Y RNA". Rfam says of the family: Y RNAs are components of the Ro ribonucleoprotein particle (Ro RNP), in association with Ro60 and La proteins. The record is from Rfam by way of RNAcentral. Lineage: Eukaryota; Metazoa; Chordata; Mammalia; Primates; Cebidae.